UAUUGCACAAUGGGGGAAACCCUGAUGCAGCAAUGCCGCGUGAGGGAAGAAGGUCUUCGGAUUGUAAACCUAAGUAGCCAGGGACGAUAAUGACGGUACCUGGAGAGUAAGCUCCGGCUAACUACGUGCCAGCAGCCGCGGUAAUACGUAGGGAGCGAGCGUUGUCCGGAAUUACUGGGUGUAAAGGGUGCGUAGGCGGGAUGGCAAGUCAGAUGUGAAAUACCGGGGCUUAACCCCGGGGCUGCAUUUGAAACUGUCGUUCUUGAGUGAAGUAGAGGCAGGCGGAAUUCCUAGUGUAGCGGUGAAAUGCGUAGAUAUUAGGAGGAACACCAGUGGCGAAGGCGGCCUGCUGGGCUUUAACUGACGCUGAGGCACGAAAGCAUGGGGAGCAAACAGG
RNAcentral lists this ribosomal RNA (397 nucleotides) under uncultured bacterium. RNAcentral's name for it is "bacterial SSU rRNA". It matches the Rfam family "Bacterial small subunit ribosomal RNA", at positions 362 to 776 of the family's 1533-position model. The record is from RNAcentral.